This 178-nucleotide ribosomal RNA is filed under the name Fusarium sp. Its description in RNAcentral is "5.8S ribosomal RNA". It matches the Rfam family "5.8S ribosomal RNA". Rfam says of the family: 5.8S ribosomal RNA (5.8S rRNA) is a component of the large subunit of the eukaryotic ribosome. Lineage: Eukaryota; Fungi; Ascomycota; Sordariomycetes; Hypocreales; Nectriaceae. The record is from RNAcentral.
ACUUUUUCAACAACGGAUCUCUUGGGUUUCUGGCAUCGAUUGAAAGAAACGCAGCAAAAUGCGAUAAGUAAUCGUUGAAUUUCGCAGAAAUUUCAGUGAAUCAUCGAAUCUUUGAACGCCACAUUUCGCGCCCGCUGGUAUUUCCGGCGGGCAUCGCCUGGUUUUCGAGCCGUCAUUU